UGAGCUGCAACCUCUGUAGGUGUCUC
This 26-nucleotide non-coding RNA is filed under the name Homo sapiens (human). Lineage: Eukaryota; Metazoa; Chordata; Mammalia; Primates; Hominidae. The record is from RNAcentral.